RNAcentral lists this ribosomal RNA (253 nucleotides) under uncultured bacterium. Its description in RNAcentral is "partial 16S ribosomal RNA". It matches the Rfam family "Bacterial small subunit ribosomal RNA", at positions 524 to 776 of the family's 1533-position model. The record is from RNAcentral.
GACAGAGGGUGCAAACGUUGUUCGGAAUUACUGGGCGUAAAGCGUGUGUAGGCGGCCACGUAAGUCGGAUGUGAAAGCCCCAGGCUCAACCUGGGAAGUGCACUCGAUACUGCGUGGCUUGAGUAUCGGAGAGGUUGGUGGAAUUCUCGGUGUAGAGGUGAAAUUCGUAGAUAUCGAGAGGAACACCGGUGGCGAAGGCGGCCAACUGGACGAAUACUGACGCUGAGGAGCGAAAGCCAGGGGAGCAAACGGG